This 95-nucleotide transfer RNA is filed under the name Clostridia bacterium. RNAcentral's name for it is "tRNA-Ser". It matches the Rfam family "tRNA". From Rfam's summary of the family: Transfer RNA (tRNA) molecules are approximately 80 nucleotides in length. The record is from RNAcentral. Lineage: Bacteria; Bacillati; Bacillota; Clostridia.
GGAGAGAUGGCCGAGUCCGGUUUAAGGCGCACGACUCGAAAUCGUGUGAGGGCCCAAAAGGCUCUCCGUGGGUUCGAAUCCCACUCUCUCCGCCA